UGGGGAAUAUUGCACAAUGGGCGCAAGCCUGAUGCAGCCAUGCCGCGUGUGUGAAGAAGGCCUUCGGGUUGUAAAGCACUUUCAGCGCGGAGGAAGGGUAGUGUGUUAAUAGCACAUUGCAUUGACGUUACUCGCAGAAGAAGCACCGGCUAACUCCGUGCCAGCAGCCGCGGUAAUACGGAGGGUGCAAGCGUUAAUCGGAAUUACUGGGCGUAAAGCGCACGCAGGCGGUUUGUUAAGUCAGAUGUGAAAUCCCCGCGCUUAACGUGGGAACUGCAUUUGAAACUGGCAAGCUAGAGUCUUGUAGAGGGGGGUAGAAUUCCAGGUGUAGCGGUGAAAUGCGUAGAGAUCUGGAGGAAUACCGGUGGCGAAGGCGGCCCCCUGGACAAAGACUGACGCUCAGGUGCGAAAGCGUGGGGAGCAAACA
This 427-nucleotide ribosomal RNA is filed under the name uncultured bacterium. RNAcentral describes it as "partial 16S ribosomal RNA". It matches the Rfam family "Bacterial small subunit ribosomal RNA", at positions 355 to 774 of the family's 1533-position model. The record is from RNAcentral.